GUGAACGCUGGCGGUAGGCCUAACACAUGCAUGUCGAACGGCAGCACAGUAAGAGCUUGCUCUUACGGGUGGCGAGUGGCGGACGGGUGAGGAAUACAUCGGAAUCUACUUUUUCGUGGGGGAUAACGUAGGGAAACUUACGCUAAUACCGCAUACGACCUACGGGUGAAAGCAGGGGAUCUUCGGACCUUGCGCGAUUGAAUGAGCCGAUGUCGGAUUAGCUAGUUGGCGGGGUAAAGGCCCACCAAGGCGACGAUCCGUAGCUGGUCUGAGAGGAUGAUCAGCCACACUGGAACUGAGACACGGUCCAGACUCCUACGGGAGGCAGCAGUGGGGAAUAUUGGACAAUGGGCGCAAGCCUGAUCCAGCCAUACCGCGUGGGUGAAGAAGGCCUUCGGGUUGUAAAGCCCUUUUGUUGGGAAAGAAAAGCAGCAGGUUAAUACCCCGCUGUUCUGACGGUACCCAAAGAAUAAGCACCGGCUAACUUCGUG
Molecule: ribosomal RNA, 491 nt
Filed under: uncultured bacterium
Lineage: Bacteria
Description: partial 16S ribosomal RNA
Rfam family: Bacterial small subunit ribosomal RNA
Source: RNAcentral